This 492-nucleotide ribosomal RNA is filed under the name uncultured bacterium. RNAcentral's name for it is "partial 16S ribosomal RNA". It matches the Rfam family "Bacterial small subunit ribosomal RNA", at positions 29 to 507 of the family's 1533-position model. The record is from RNAcentral.
AGUGAACGCUGGCGGUAGGCCUAACACAUGCAAGUCGAACGGCAGCACAGUAAGAGCUUGCUCUUACGGGUGGCGAGUGGCGGACGGGUGAGGAAUACAUCGGAAUCUACUUUUUCGUGGGGGAUAACGUAGGGAAACUUACGCUAAUACCGCAUACGACCUACGGGUGAAAGUAGGGGAUCUUCGGACCUUGCGCGAUUGAAUGAGCCGAUGUCGGAUUAGCUAGUUGGCGGGGUAAAGGCCCACCAAGGCGACGAUCCGUAGCUGGUCUGAGAGGAUGAUCAGCCACACUGGAACUGAGACACGGUCCAGACUCCUACGGGAGGCAGCAGUGGGGAAUAUUGGACAAUGGGCGCAAGCCUGAUCCAGCCAUACCGCGUGGGAGAAGAAGGCCUUCGGGUUGUAAAGCCCUUUUGUUGGGAAGGAAAAGCAGCAGGUUAAUACCCCGCUGUUCUGACGGUACCCAAAGAAUAAGCACCGGCUAACUUCGUG